CCUACGGGUGGCAGCCGUGAGGAAUAUUGGUCAAUGGACGCAAGUCUGAACCAGCCAUGCCGCGUGCAGGAAGACGGCUCUAUGAGUUGUAACCUGCUUUUGUACGAGGGUAAACGCAGAUACGCGUAUCUGUCUGAAAGUAUCGUACGAAUAAGGAUCGGCUAACUCCGUGUCAGCAGCCGCGGUAAUACGGAGGAUUCAAGCGUUAUCCGGAUUUAUUGGGUUUAAAGGGUGCGUAGGCGGUCGGAUAAGUUAGAGGUGAAAUCCCGAGGCUCAACUUCGGAAUUGCCUCUGAUACUGUCGGGCUAGAGUUUAGUUGCGGUAGGCGGAAUGUAUGGUGUAGCGGUGAAAUGCAUAGAGAUCAUACAGAACACCGAUUGCGAAGGCAGCUUACCAAACUACGACUGACGUUGAGGCACGAAAGCGUGGGGAGCAAACAGGAUUAGAUACCCGGGUAGUC
RNAcentral lists this ribosomal RNA (460 nucleotides) under uncultured bacterium. RNAcentral describes it as "partial 16S ribosomal RNA". It matches the Rfam family "Bacterial small subunit ribosomal RNA", at positions 338 to 795 of the family's 1533-position model. The record is from RNAcentral.